This 412-nucleotide ribosomal RNA is filed under the name uncultured euryarchaeote. Its description in RNAcentral is "bacterial SSU rRNA". It matches the Rfam family "Archaeal small subunit ribosomal RNA", at positions 335 to 747 of the family's 1478-position model. Lineage: Archaea; Methanobacteriati; Methanobacteriota. The record is from RNAcentral.
GCAGGCGCGAAAACUUUACAAUGCUGGAAACAGCGAUAAGGGGACCUCGAGUGCCAGGUUACAAAUCUGGCUGUCGUGAUGCCUAAAAAGCAUUGCAUAGCAAGGGCCGGGCAAGACCGGUGCCAGCCGCCGCGGUAACACCGGCGGCUCGAGUGGUAACCGUUAUUAUUGGGUCUAAAGGGUCUGUAGCCGGCCGGAUAAGUCUCUUGGGAAAUCUGGCAGCUUAACUGUCAGGCUUUCAGGAGAUACUGUCUGGCUCGAGGCCGGGAGAGGUGAGAGGUACUUCAGGGGUAGGGGUGAAAUCUUGUAAUCCUCGGGGGACCACCAGUGGCGAAGGCGUCUCACCAGAACGGGUCCGACGGUAAGGGACGAAAGCUAGGGGCACGAACCGGAUUAGAUACCCCAGUAGUCC